RNAcentral lists this ribosomal RNA (381 nucleotides) under uncultured eukaryote. Its description in RNAcentral is "partial 18S ribosomal RNA". It matches the Rfam family "Eukaryotic small subunit ribosomal RNA", at positions 592 to 976 of the family's 1831-position model. The record is from RNAcentral.
UGUAAGCGUAUACCAAAGUUGUUGCAGUUAAAACGCUCGUAGUCGGAAUUUGGCAGUUCCGGAUGUGUGCACGUCGUGUGCGCACUUCGCGGGGAUUGCUUUUGUGGUCUUGCGUAGGAUGAGGCACUUUUAUUAGUGAACGUCCUCACGCAACCACUUUUUACUGUGAGAAAAUCAGAGUGCUCAAAGCAGGCAUUUGCCGUGAAUGUAUUAGCAUGGAAUAAUAGAAUAGGACUUGGUUCUAUUUGUUGGUUUGUUGGGACUGAGUAAUGAUUAAGAGGGACAGUUGGGGGCAUUUGUAUUUCGGUGCUAGAGGUGAAAUUCUUAGAUUACCGAAAGACAAACUGCUGCGAAAGCGUCUGCCAAGGAUGUUUUCAUUGA